AUGUUUUCUCUACAGUCACUGAAUCACAACAUCCUCAUCAUGAAAUGCAGCUGGAUCAUCCUCUUCUUGAUGGCACUAGCUACAGGGAUCUACUCAGAAGUCCAGUUGCAACAGUCUGGGCCUGAGAUUGUGAGGCCUGGGACCUCAGUCAAAUUGUCCUGAAAGGCUUCUGGCUACAGCAUUACAGAAUACUAUAUAGAGUGGGUGAAGCAGAGGCCUGAACAAGGCCUGGAAUGGAUUGGAAUGAUUGAUCCUGAGGAUGGUGAAACUAAAUAUGCUCAGAAGUUCCAAAGCAAGGCCACACUGACUGCAGAUACAUCCUCCAACACAGCCUACAUGGAGCUCAGCAGACUGAUAUCUGAGGACACUGCAAUCUAUUUUUGUGCUAGACACAGUGUUGCAACCACACCCUUAGUAUGGUAGAAAAAGAAGAGGAGCAGGAAGCUUCCAUAGGACUGAAAUAAAAGACAAUAUUACCCUGAAGAUUUGUCCAGAAAUUGUCAUUCUGAGUGUCCAUGUGUCUGCCUCAUCCUCACAGUUAUGGCCUGUCCUGUGACUGAUUAAUGGUCAAUUUGGAGAAGAUACCGUGAGUCUCUGAGAAGAAGGUAUCCAGUGUGAGUGGAAUAUGCAAGAGGUUUGGUACAACCUGGAGGUUCUCUGAGAGUCCCCUGUGCAUCUUCUGGAUUCACCUUCACUGAUUUCCACAUGAAUUAGUUCCCCCAGCCUGAAGGGAAGGCACCUGAGUGGGUGGGUUUAAUUAGAAAGAAAGUUGGUACUUGCAUAAAAGACUACAGUCCAUCUGUGAAGGGUCAGUUCACCAUUUCCAGAGAUAAUUCCCAAAAUAUCUUCUAUCUUCAAAUGAACACCCUGAGACCUGAGGACACUGCCACUUAUUACUGUGCAAGAUAUUUACAGAGUGACAUAACUUCAGUGUGGGUUCAUGCAAAAACCUCCUUUCAGGGGUGCUCAGGACCAACAAGGGGUGCACAUAGCCGUAAAAAAGACAGUGCAUUUCUCCUACAUGAAUUAUUUUUCAUCUGAAAAUGUCACUGGAACUUAUAAUACUUUAUCUACUACAGAAGUCUUUGCAUUGGAAAGUGACAGCUGAACAGAAAUGCUACUCUGUGAGAAACUGUAAUGUGGGUACAAAUUUCUACUUGGAAAGGGAAAUUUUGAAGGGAUGAACACAGAUGUGUUCUCUUUCCUAUUAUAUGUUGUAUUUAGACAUAUUGUUCUGCAACUCCUUGUGUAUUAGUUUAAUGAGUUGAACUUCUACAAUAAAUGGCACCUCCACAUUCCUUUUAAAAGUACAUUACAGUGUUAUUCUACACCAAAAUUUGGGGCUUAGUAAAAUUAUUGGAAAAUGUAUUGUACUAAUGCAAUUUUCAUGCUUGAUAUUUAUUCAUAUGAUAUGAAGGAAUUACUCUAAAUAAAAUGAAAGAUGGAAUUUGUUUAUAAA
Non-coding RNA from Rattus norvegicus (Norway rat), 1459 nucleotides. The record is from RefSeq and is a predicted model, not a curated record. NCBI's taxonomy places the organism in Eukaryota, Metazoa, Chordata, Mammalia, Rodentia, Muridae.